This 301-nucleotide ribosomal RNA is filed under the name uncultured bacterium. Its description in RNAcentral is "partial 16S ribosomal RNA". It matches the Rfam family "Bacterial small subunit ribosomal RNA", at positions 509 to 807 of the family's 1533-position model. The record is from RNAcentral.
CAGCAGCCGCGGGAAUACGGAGGGUGCAAGCGUUAAUCGGAAUUGCUGGGCGUAAAGCGCACGCAGGCGGUUUGUUAAGUCAGAUGUGAAAUCCCCGAGCUUAACUUGGGAACUGCAUUUGAAACUGGCAAGCUAGAGUCUUGUAGAGGGGGGUAGAAUUCCAGGUGUAGCGGUGAAGUGCGUAGAGAUCUGGAGGAAUACCGGUGGCGAAGGCGGCCCCCUGGACAAAGACUGACGCUCAGGUGCGAAAGCGUGGGGAGCAAACAGGAUUAGAUACCCCGGUAGUCCCUGUCUCUUAUAC